Long non-coding RNA from Lolium rigidum, 2184 nucleotides. RefSeq lists it as uncharacterized. The transcript is spliced from 3 exons. Lineage: Eukaryota; Viridiplantae; Streptophyta; Magnoliopsida; Poales; Poaceae. The record is from RefSeq and is a predicted model, not a curated record.
GAGCUGCCUGGUGCUGAUCGUGGCUUGUCCGCUGGCCCAGCUACUUGUUUCGAGUGGUGAAGCCGUGAAGGGUUUCGCCAUGGUUGGCAAGGGCAGCCUGGAGCACCUCCAGAAUGAGUAGUACUACGUGAGUUGCAAGGUGUACUCACCAUCUUCUCUUUGAUUUGAUUUGGUGUGGUUCGAUUCAUUGAUGUGGGAUAACGAAAGGGCUAUCCUUCUUGUUUUAUCAAAAGUUUUGGGAGGUGGUAAAAACAGAUAUUAUGGCCCUUUUGUCUGAUUUUUUCGAGGGAAAAUUGGAUAUUUUUAGGAUUAUUUUUGCUGUACUUUCAAUUAUCCCAAAAGAACCGGAUGCCUUCUGUAAAGUUUUUGCUGUACUUCUGUAUGGAUAAUUGCUAAUAAUUUGAUCCCUUGGCUAACAAAUUAGAUUAAAACAUUUUGUAUUUAACCCUUGUCAAGAACCCAUGCUGGCACAAAUGGAGCUCUUCACUCAAACGGGUGCUGCAUCUGGUCAAGUCCCCUUGUGCCUUGCCGUGGGGGUGAUUGAUGCUAGGCAUGAUGCUUCUUUGAUCACCUCCUAGCUGAGUUCUCUCUCGCCGUUCCUGUCACCCCUUCGACUCCAUGCAGCGUCGCCAAGGUCUCUACAAGCUUCGUAAUGUCUCUGUUCUGGUACUCUAGGUGGUGGUAGCCGCAGAUGCACCUGCUGCCUCCGGAAGUCACAAGGGCAAAGCUCCAGGCAAUGCUUGAUCACCACAUGAGUGCAGCAAAGCAAUGACUCUGAUCACUUGUAGUCUCUUAGUCCUGGAACUGUCAAUGUUCAUCUUUAGUUUUCGGGACUGAACUUGUAGCCUUUUUCUUUCUUUUCUUUCUUGCUCUGUUUCUAGCUUUAAAUCUGAGAUAUGUGGCCUUUGCCAAAACAUGGUUUCAUUUAAGAAGGGAGCCCUCUUGAUCGAAAAACACGUCCUGAUGCGUUUCGGUUUGGGUUGCAGGAGCUAGCGGUGCUGAUCGUGGCUUGCCCGCUUGCCCAACUACAUGCUGGAGUGGUGCGGGCAGUUUGCACAUUGCACCUGCAUAUUUUUUAUUUUACUAUUUGCUUCAAUUCAAAUAUUAUGUGUUUUGAGAGUGUUUACCGGGAUUGGUCAUCUGGUAUUGCGCUAGCCGUCAUUCUUUGAUUUAGUCAUCACAUGCUUACCUUUGCCUAUUAUUAGCAUAGGAAUAUAAUGUUUGAACUUUGAACUGCUUAUCUAACCUGUGUAAUGCAUCUGUAUGCUAAUAAUUUGAUCCCUUGGCUAAGGAAUUAGAUUAAAAUAUUAUAUAUAUAUAUAUUAUCACUUAUUUAUGGUGGAAGUGAUAAGUAUACAGAACAUGUGCUACACCUGCCUCCCCUAGAACAUAAGGUCUCCGAUAGCGCAUAUUUACUUGAUGCAUCUGUAUGUGUUCUAAGAUGGUAUCGCUUAUGUUUUGGUUAUCUUUGAUUUAAUCUUGGAAAUUCUAUGGAAUUGUGUACGAAGAUAUGUGAUUUCCCAUAGCUCUAUUGGUGACUUUAACGAUUGAUUUUGAUCUGUAUGAUCUGGUUCUGAUGAUCACUAUUUAUAUAGUGAGAAAUAGCUCUUAUUUGUUGUGGUUCUAGUUUUGGUUGGGGAGAGAAUAGCUUUGCUUUUUUAUGGUUCUGAUGAUAGCAUGAAUAAUAAGAAGAGAAUACUACUACACAUGUGGUCUGUUUUUCACUAUUUCUGUUGAGUUGUCAAGCAGAUAGGCUGCAGUAUCCAUGGUCAUAUAUUUUUCACUUUAUUUGCAGCUAGAGCUCUUUCUUGUCACUCUCAAAUAUUGCCAAUGAUCCUUAAGAAUCAUGCUUAUUUCUGAAGAAUGUCGUGCUGUAUUUGUUUCCUCAAUAGGUUUUCCUUAUGUUUUCCUUAUGUUAAUUACGGCACUUUUGUCUCUUGGCUGCAAUGGUUUGGAAAUGGCAUGGAUACCAGUGGAAAGGGCAGCCCGUAGCGUCUCCAUAAGGAGUAGCACGUGAUCUGCAAGGUGAGCUGCCAAUUUCAUAUUCCUUUUUGUUCGGCGUGGUUGAUGGACCCCGGUUGGGUAGCAGGAGCCGCUGGUGCUGAUUGUGGGUUGCUUGUUUGCCCAGCGACAUGUUGGAGUGGCGUAGGUAGUAUCCCCUGCUUGAUUGCACCUGUAUACUUA